Juglans microcarpa x Juglans regia is the source of this 633-nucleotide long non-coding RNA. RefSeq lists it as uncharacterized. NCBI's taxonomy places the organism in Eukaryota, Viridiplantae, Streptophyta, Magnoliopsida, Fagales, Juglandaceae. The record is from RefSeq and is a predicted model, not a curated record. The transcript has 4 exons.
CAUGAUCGCCGCCAUUAUUGGCUGCUACUGAAGCCCUUAUGCGCUUCUUUUCCGUUCUCAAAGUGCAUUUUCGCACGCCGUUGAGAUCCGCCAUCUUCGUUUUCUGGUCUCUUUCUCCCUCGUUCCUAUUUGAAUUCCGAUCUCCAAUCCGCGGCGGCAGGCAAUAUAUCCGGAGUUAAGGGAUUGGUACUUUUACAAUUUCGGCGAAACCACUCCCUCACUUUGAGUCAGUUAUUCAAGUACGAUUAUUCUGACACCUACGAAGAGCAUAGCAUCUCGUCGCCCAUAGACACCAAGAUGAGGAACUGACUUUUGUUGGAAGAUACGUCCACAAUGGGGGAAGUGGUUCCAAUCUAUUUCAGCAUUGUUGCUUUUAUUUGCACGGUUGGAGCCAUUGCUCUUGCUAUUAUGCAUAUCUACAGGCACCUUUUGAACUAUACCGAACCCACUUAUCAGCGAUUCAUCGUCCGCAUCAUCUUCAUGGUUCUGGUUUAUGCGCUAACGUCUUUCCUGUCCCUGGUUUUGCCCAAGGGCUCAAUCUAUUUUAGUUCCAUCCGAGAAGUGUAAGUUUUUGUCUGUGAGUAUAAUUUGGUCUUCAGUUUUACUGAAUAAAAAAUAUCUAUAUUUUUAAUG